GUGGGGGCAUCCUCGUGAUACCAAAGGAGCAAUCCGCUGAAAGAUGGGCUCAUAUCUGAUUAGCUUGUUGGCGGGGUAACGGCCCACCAAGGCGACGAUCAGUAGCCGGACUGAGAGGUUGAACGGCCACAUUGGGACUGAGAUACGGCCCAGACUCCUACGGGAGGCAGCAGUGGGGAAUAUUGGGCAAUGGGCGAAAGCCUGACCCAGCAACGCCGCGUGAAGGAAGAAGGUCUUCGGAUUGUAAACUUCUUUUAUGAGGGACGAAGGACGUGACGGUACCUCAUGAAUAAGCCACGGCUAACUACGUGCCAGCAGCCGCGGUAAUACGUAGGUGGCGAGCGUUAUCCGGAUUUACUGGGUGUAAAGGGCGCGUAGGCGGGGGUGCAAGUCAGAUGUGAAAUCUAUGGGCUCAACUCAUAAACUGCAUUCGAAACUGUACUUCUUGAGUACUGGAGAGGUAGACGGAAUUCCUUGUGUAGCGGUGAAAUGCGUAGAUAUAAGGAAGAACACCAGUGGCGAAGGCGGUCUACUGGACAGCAACUGACGCUGAGGCGCGAAAGCGUGGGGAGCAAACAGG
RNAcentral lists this ribosomal RNA (580 nucleotides) under uncultured rumen bacterium. Its description in RNAcentral is "bacterial SSU rRNA". It matches the Rfam family "Bacterial small subunit ribosomal RNA", at positions 182 to 776 of the family's 1533-position model. The record is from RNAcentral.